UUUCAUUAAACGAUUAUAACAUUUUAUUGAUUCAGUUUACCACCAAAAACAGUUCAUUUAAAUCCAAAGCAUUCAUGAUGUUGUGAAAGAAAAGUUAAAAGAACAAACAUAUAUUAAAAUAUUAAAGAGAGUUAGAUUUAAUUUGUUGUUCAGUUGUUGGUUUAACUUUUUAUAUCUAAGGUUCAAGAUUAUGGUUUGAGUUUGUUUGCUAUCUACAAUCAUUUAUAGAAUUUUCAUCAGUUUAAAAUACCCCAAAUUAAAAUUAUUUCAACAGAAAAACUUUAAUGAUGAAUCAGAUAUGAAUUGAACCAAACCUGUGGUGACUAUCUGCAGUAUAACAUAAAUUUGAUGUCAAGACUUAAGUCAUUAUAUAUUUUUGAAGACUGGAUAUGGUGAUUAACACUUUGUUUGUUUGUGUCUGCAAUUCCAGUUGACGAAAGCAAUCAAAAGAGUAAGCAUGAGUUACAUUCAUUUGAAAUAAAAACUGAGUUAGAUAAUUUGUUGAGUAAAAACUUUCUUUAUUUUUCCAGAAGACUUGGAGACAUUGAAGUACUCCCCCAUCGCUGCACUGGUUCUUGCUCUCAUCCUUUGUUGUUUAACUGGAGUUCACUUUUACAAAACGAAUACUGAUUUCUCCAUAAUUCUUCGAUCUGAUUAUGCGUUGAAAUGGAGAGAGCCAUUAUCUGGAAUACAAUGGGGACCCUGAAACAAGACGUAAUUAUAAGACCUUGACUUUACAUAUUGAAGUAUUAAUGCAUUUGUUUUUUAUUUAUUAUUGAUUGAUUUGCACACUGAUAUUGUUUCGCUGACUUGUUGAAUGGACAUUAUAUGGCUCACUACUUGAAUGCAAACACAAGGCUGUGUUUGUAUAUUAUUUCAGUGCAAACUGUGUUUUGAAUUUAUCUUUGUACUGUGGAUUCAUAACUGUGUAGACUCACAAAUUAUCACGGUUAGCGCUGGCCAACCGUGGGGAUGUGAG
Molecule: long non-coding RNA, 979 nt
Organism: Haplochromis burtoni (Burton's mouthbrooder)
Lineage: Eukaryota; Metazoa; Chordata; Actinopteri; Cichliformes; Cichlidae
Exons: 3
Source: RefSeq, a predicted model, not a curated record